GAUGAACGCUGGCGGCGUGCCUAAUACAUGCAAGUCGAGCGAACGGACGAGAAGCUUGCUCCUCUGGUGUUAGCGGCGGACGGGUGAGUAACACGUGGAUAACCUACCUAUAAGACUGGGGUACCUUCGGGAGACCGGAGCUACUGCCGGAAAAUAUUUUGAACCGCAUGGUUCAAAAGUGAAAGACGGUCUUGCUGUCACUUAUAGAUGAAUCCGCGCUGCAUUCGCUAGUUGGUAAGGUAACGGCUUACCAAGGCAACGAUGCAUAGCCGACCUGAGAGGGUGGUCGCCCACCCUGGAACUGAGACACAGUCCAGACUCCUACGGGAGGACGCGGUAGGGACUCCUACGCAAUGGGCGAAAGCCUGACGUUGGAACGCCGCCUGAGUCCUGAAGGUCUUCGGAUCGUAAAACUCUGUUAUUAUGGAAGAUCAAAUGUGUAAGUAACUGUGAACAUCUUGACGGUACCUAAUCAGAAAGCCCCGGCUAACUACGUG
RNAcentral lists this ribosomal RNA (497 nucleotides) under uncultured bacterium. RNAcentral's name for it is "partial 16S ribosomal RNA". It matches the Rfam family "Bacterial small subunit ribosomal RNA", at positions 28 to 507 of the family's 1533-position model. The record is from RNAcentral.